GUGAAGCUGGAUUCGCUAGUAAUCGCGCAUCAGCCAUGGCGCGGUGAAUACGUUCCCGGGCCUUGUACACACCGCCCGUCAAGCCAUGGGAGCCGGGAGUGCCUGAAGGCCGUGACCGCAAGGAGCGGCCUAAGGUAAAACUGGUGACUGGGGCUAAGUCGUAACAAGGUAAC
RNAcentral lists this ribosomal RNA (173 nucleotides) under uncultured bacterium. Its description in RNAcentral is "partial 16S ribosomal RNA". It matches the Rfam family "Bacterial small subunit ribosomal RNA", at positions 1320 to 1500 of the family's 1533-position model. The record is from RNAcentral.